ACAUUAGUUUUACCACAACCGUAAAUGCUGCUGACUAUUGCAUAUAAUGAAAAUCAAAAUUAUGCAUUUCGAUUUUCCUUUCAUGCAAUGUGCACUAUUUACAAUUGUGGUAGAACUAAUGUAAUUAAAAAGCUAUUCGUGACUUGUAUUGUGAGUUGAACAGGAAAGUGAGAACAAAGGCGUUGUUGUAGCCAUUUUGGCCAUGCUACAACGAUGCAGACAGCUCUCUUUGUCACUCCUACAACGUGCUUGUUCAAACAACACAUUUUCUUUCAGGUUUUGUGCUUUAGGCAGAGUGACAUGAUGCAGGAUGGAGUUGCGAAGAGUUCCAGGACAUGGUCAAAGAUGGCUGGAACAGUCGGAUGGAUUUGCAAUCAUGCAAUAAAGGCCCACAUGAGACGCCAUGGUCAAAUGGUUGGAGAUCGUUGAGAGUUUGCAGCUAUUGAUGAAAGUUGUUGUAAUAAUAGCAAGUAUCACCACAGAAGGGCCGGUGCAACAUGGCGACGGAAAAAGUGGGUAUUAAGAAUAUUAGGAGUAGGUGACCGCCAGAAACAUCCUGUCUUGUGGCUGGUGUGGUUAAACAAGUGCGUCCGGGAACCACCGUCAUCAGUGACCAAUGGGGCACUUACAGGAGUGCAUUGACUGCGACAGGCUACAGGCACUUCACAGUGAACCACUGUCAGUAGUUUGCGGAUCCAAACACCUUGCGCGCCUCCCAGUAUGUCAACCCCAGCUUUCUCUGUGGACCAUGCAACUUGGACUUUCCGAGUUUCAUAUAGGACAAUGCAUCUUGCUCUGCAUCUGUAAACCAUGGAUUCAUCUUUUGGACAUUUUCAGGAGAAUGGCUGUGUGUGUGUGUGUGUGUGUGUGUGUGCGUUGGUCGGUCAGUCGGUCGGUCUGUCUGUCUGUCGCUUUCUCUCUCUCUCUCUCUCUCUCUCUCUCUCUCUCUCUCUCUCUCUCUCUCUCUCUCUCUGGAUAAAUGUAUGUAAGCCUGUGGUAUGUUAUUGUGUGAUCCCUUGUUUAACAUUUUUGCUUAUUAAAAUUUGUACACAAACUGGUGUUUUUAUUGAUAAUGUUAGUUAAUCAGAAGUUCUUCUCUGAGUACAUAGUAACAUAUUCUGAAUAUCACUUCUUCAUGCAUUAGCUAAUGCUAUAGUACUCAUUAUCAUGUCAUGACCGCAGAAUAAGGGGCAAAGAUUCAGUAGUUAAGCGUAAAAUCUUUUGUGAGUAUAUAUUAACACACUUGGAAUAUCUCUUCUUUAUACAUUAACUAAUGCCAUAGUCAUCAUGACUUCUAUUAUGACUCCAAAUAUGUUGUUAAAUAAUACAUUAAUUAAUCAUUACUUUAGAUAUGACCUCAUACAGAAAAAUAUUACUUGUGUGGUGCUGGUUACAAGAUCA
This is a long non-coding RNA of Engraulis encrasicolus (European anchovy), 1401 nucleotides long. RefSeq lists it as uncharacterized. The record is from RefSeq and is a predicted model, not a curated record. The transcript has 3 exons. NCBI's taxonomy places the organism in Eukaryota, Metazoa, Chordata, Actinopteri, Clupeiformes, Engraulidae.